GACGAACGCUGGCGGCGUGCUUAACACAUGCAAGUCGAACGGAAAGGCCCUGCUUUUGUGGGGUGCUCGAGUGGCGAACGGGUGAGUAACACGAGAGUAACCUGCCCUUCACUUUGGGAUAACUUAAGGAAACUGGGGCUAAUACCGGAUAGGAGCUCCUGCUGCAUGGUGGGGGUUGGAAAGUUUCGGCUGUUGGGGAUGGACUCGCGGCUUAUCAGCUUGUUGGUGGGGUAGUGGCUUACCAAGGCUUCGACGGGUAGCCGGCCUGAGAGGGUGACCGGCCACAUUGGGACUGAGAUACGGGCCAGACGCCUAGGGGAGGGAGCAGUGGGGAAUAUUGCACAAUGGGCGGGAGCCUGAUGCAGCAACGCCGCGUGCGGGAUGACGGCCUUCGGGUUGUAAACCGCUUUCGCCUGUGACGAAGCGUGAGUGACGGUAAUGGGUAAAGAAGCACCGGCUAACUACGUG
This 468-nucleotide ribosomal RNA is filed under the name uncultured bacterium. RNAcentral's name for it is "partial 16S ribosomal RNA". It matches the Rfam family "Bacterial small subunit ribosomal RNA", at positions 28 to 507 of the family's 1533-position model. The record is from RNAcentral.